This 462-nucleotide ribosomal RNA is filed under the name uncultured bacterium. Its description in RNAcentral is "partial 16S ribosomal RNA". It matches the Rfam family "Bacterial small subunit ribosomal RNA", at positions 29 to 523 of the family's 1533-position model. The record is from RNAcentral.
AAUGAACGUUGGCGGCAUGGAUUAGGCAUGCAAGUCGGGGGAAUCCCAGCAAUGGGGGAACCGGCGUAAGGGGCAGUAAGGCAUGGGUACCUACCUUGGGGUUCGGGAUAGCCAUCAGAGAUGGUGGGUAAUACCGGAUGACGUCGUGAGACCAAAGAUUUAUCGCCCUUAGAGGGGCCCAUGUGAUAUUAGCUAGUUGGUGGGGUAACGGCCCACCAAGGCGAAGAUGUCUAGCGGGUGUGAGAGCACGACCCGCGCCACUCGCACUGAGACACUUGCGAGACACCUACGGGUGGCUGCAGUCGAGGAUCUUCGGCAAUGAGCGCAAGCUUGACCGAGCGGUGCCGCGUGAGCGAUGAAGGCCUUCGGGUUGUAAAGCUCUUUAGUGGGGGAGAAAAGCCGCAAGGUGUGAUCUAUCCCAAAAAUAAGCACGGGCUAAGUUCGUGCCAGCCGCCGCAGUAA